CGGGGCAUAGCGCAAUUGGUUAGCGCACUGGCUUUGGGAGCCAGAGGUUGUGGGUUCGAGUCCCACUGCCCCGA
Molecule: transfer RNA, 74 nt
Filed under: Pseudomonadota bacterium
Lineage: Bacteria; Pseudomonadati; Pseudomonadota
Also listed under: 4 other names
Description: tRNA-Pro
Rfam family: tRNA
About the family: Transfer RNA (tRNA) molecules are approximately 80 nucleotides in length. Their secondary structure includes four short double-helical elements and three loops (D, anti-codon, and T loops).
Source: RNAcentral